GUAAGUGUAGCAUAGCGGCUAAUGCCCUCGGUUGUGAUCCGAGAAGACGUGGGUUCGAAUCCCAUCAUUUACCCCA
RNAcentral lists this transfer RNA (76 nucleotides) under marine sediment metagenome. RNAcentral describes it as "tRNA-His". It matches the Rfam family "tRNA". Rfam says of the family: Transfer RNA (tRNA) molecules are approximately 80 nucleotides in length. Their secondary structure includes four short double-helical elements and three loops (D, anti-codon, and T loops). The record is from RNAcentral.